GCUAGUAAUCGCGGAUCAGCUACGCCGCGGUGAAUACGUUCCCGGGCCUUGUACACACCGCCCGUCACGCCAUGGAAGCCGGGAGUGCCCGAAGUCCGUGUCCCAACCGCAAGGAGGGAGCGGCCUAAGGCAAGCUCGGUGACUGGGGCGAAGUCGUAACAAGGUAGCCGUAGGGGAACCUGCGGCUGGAUCACCUCCUUUCUGGA
RNAcentral lists this ribosomal RNA (206 nucleotides) under Candidatus Cloacimonadota bacterium. RNAcentral's name for it is "partial 16S ribosomal RNA". It matches the Rfam family "Bacterial small subunit ribosomal RNA", at positions 1334 to 1533 of the family's 1533-position model. The record is from RNAcentral. Lineage: Bacteria; Pseudomonadati; Candidatus Cloacimonadota.